AUUGAACGCUGGCGGCAUGCCUUACACAUGCAAGUCGAACGGUAACAGGUCUUCGGAUGCUGACGAGUGGCGAACGGGUGAGUAAUACAUCGGAACGUGCCCGAUCGUGGGGGAUAACGAGGCGAAAGCUUUGCUAAUACCGCAUACGAUCUACGGAUGAAAGCGGGGGAUCUUCGGACCUCGCGCGGACGGAGCGGCCGAUGGCAGAUUAGGUAGUUGGUGGGAUAAAAGCUUACCAAGCCGACGAUCUGUAGCUGGUCUGAGAGGAUGAUCAGCCACACUGGGACUGAGACACGGCCCAGACUCCUACGGGAGGCAGCAGUGGGGAAUUUUGGACAAUGGGCGAAAGCCUGAUCCAGCCAUGCCACGUGCAGGAUGAAGGCCUUCGGGUUGUAAACUGCUUUUGUACGGAACGAAAAGCCUCUUUCUAAUAAAGAGGGGCCAUGACGGUACCGUAAGAAUAAGCACCGGCUAACUACGUG
This 482-nucleotide ribosomal RNA is filed under the name uncultured bacterium. RNAcentral's name for it is "partial 16S ribosomal RNA". It matches the Rfam family "Bacterial small subunit ribosomal RNA", at positions 30 to 507 of the family's 1533-position model. The record is from RNAcentral.